GCGGUAUUGGUGAAGUGGUUAACACACCGGAUUGUGGUUCCGGCACGCGUGAGUUCGAUUCUCACAUACCGCC
Molecule: transfer RNA, 73 nt
Filed under: Levilactobacillus namurensis
Lineage: Bacteria; Bacillati; Bacillota; Bacilli; Lactobacillales; Lactobacillaceae
Description: tRNA-His
Rfam family: tRNA
About the family: Transfer RNA (tRNA) molecules are approximately 80 nucleotides in length.
Source: RNAcentral